Molecule: long non-coding RNA, 603 nt
Organism: Chrysemys picta bellii (western painted turtle)
Lineage: Eukaryota; Metazoa; Chordata; Testudines; Emydidae
Source: RefSeq, a predicted model, not a curated record
UGUUUGCCCUUUAUAUUGGAAAAGGGAGCUGUGGUGCAUAAUAACAGUGACUUCAGAACAAAUCUUUGGGCCAUACGUCUCACUGCCAGGCUCAUUUACAAUCUUUGAACUCGGGCAACAGUUUUCCACAACUGAUGUUAAUAAUAGUACAUUUACAGUACAAUUUGAUGAAGAAUGCACCAAGGGACAGAUGAGUUAAGCUCGAAUACCAUAUGUGUACGUGUGAAUACUUCAGUAUGUUCGGGAAAACAAGGCUUUCAUAACUACUAUACCAGUCUGAAGAAGAAUCACAGAAGUUAGAAACAGAAAAGAGGGAAGAUCUAGCCCAUCUCUCAGCCCCUGCAGGACCAUUCUGCUAUGUUCAGACUUUCUGAUCAUAUAGCAUCCAGAUCGGAGUGCAAUAUUCCAGUGCAGUCACACCAGAGGCAGUGGUGUUGGAACAAAUUGUAUAGUGGGGGUGCUGAAAGACAUUGAACAAAACUGUAAUCCCUAUAUGAUGGAAACCACUUCAAGCCAGGAGGUGAUGUCGCACCCCCAGCACCGCUAGUUCCAGCACCCCGACCAGAGGGACAACUGCUUCUGCAAUAUGAUACCAUUUUGUAU